RNAcentral lists this ribosomal RNA (790 nucleotides) under uncultured Gammaproteobacteria bacterium. RNAcentral's name for it is "bacterial SSU rRNA". It matches the Rfam family "Bacterial small subunit ribosomal RNA", at positions 75 to 860 of the family's 1533-position model. Lineage: Bacteria; Pseudomonadati; Pseudomonadota; Gammaproteobacteria. The record is from RNAcentral.
UGUAGCAAUACAUGCUGACGAGCGGCGGACGGGUGAGUAACGCUUGGGAAUCUGCCUGUUAGUGGGGGACAACACGGGGAAACUCGUGCUAAUACCGCAUACGCACUACGGUGGAAAGCCGGGGACCGCAAGGCCUGGCGCUAACAGAUGAGCCCAAGUCGGAUUAGCUAGUUGGUAGGGUAACGGCCUACCAAGGCGACGAUCCGUAACUGGUCUGAGAGGACGACCAGUCACACCGGAACUGAGACACGGUCCGGACUCCUACGGGAGGCAGCAGUGGGGAAUAUUGGACAAUGGGGGAAACCCUGAUCCAGCGACGCCGCGUGGGUGAAGAAGGCCUGCGGGUUGUAAAGCCCUUUCGGUUGGGAAGAAAAGCUGUGACCUAACACGUUGCGGCCUUGACGUAACCAACUAAAGAAGCACCGGCUAACUCUGUGCCAGCAGCCGCGGUAAUACAGAGGGUGCGAGCGUUAAUCGGAAUUACUGGGCGUAAAGCGCGCGUAGGCGGCUUUUCAAGUCGAUUGUGAAAUCCCCGGGCUUAACCUGGGAACUGCAGUCGAGACUGUCUAGCUAGAGUAUGGGAGAGGGAAGUGGAAUUUCAGGUGUAGCGGUGAAAUGCGUAGAUAUCUGAAGGAACAUCAGUGGCGAAAGCGACUUCCUGGACCAAUACUGACGCUCAUGUGCGAAAGCGUGGGGAGCAAACAGGAUUAGAUACCCUGGUAGUCCACGCCAUAAACGAUGAGAACUGGAUGUCGGGAGGGUCUGCCUCUCGGUGUCGUAGCUAACGCGU